Long non-coding RNA from Gallus gallus (chicken), 626 nucleotides. The record is from Ensembl. NCBI's taxonomy places the organism in Eukaryota, Metazoa, Chordata, Aves, Galliformes, Phasianidae.
CUUUUCUUCAGCCCUCUGCAGUAAUUCCUUAGGUUGCCAUGUUGCUGGAGUGCUCAGAUCAACAGGAGCAGAACCUCCCACUACCCUGCGUUCUGCUCCCGUGCCCCAGCCCAAAACCCUCUGCCCGCUGUGGUUUUAGUGUCCAAGGUGAGAGCUGGAGGUGAAAUGUAUGCUCAUGACAGGAGGUUCACUGCCACCCUCAGCACUCUCCUUGGGACAUCCUGCUCUUUUCCUGAGUGUGUGGGAAGCAACAACAAGUCUUUUCUAUGUGAAGGCAGGAGCUGCUAAAUUCUCCAGCCUCUGCAAUGAGAUUACUGUUCCAAAGACAGCAAUAACCUCCUCCCCUGAACAGAACCUGGAAUUUUGUAUGCAGAGCUUUCCUGUUGUGGCCAUCUGAUGUUACAGUUACCAGCAGUCACUUGGGAGCCCUACAGUGGGACCAAUCACUGGCACAUGGAGCUGUUCACAAUAGGAGGGCGAUGGAGACUGAAAGAAAAAUAUUGCUUCCACCCAACGUCACUGUACAAGUCCUUUGUUUCAAGUCAAAAUUCACUUUAGACACAAGACAGAACCAUCUAUGAAAUUAGACUUUCUUCUGACAAGAUUAAAUCAAGACAAGGAAUGAG